Non-coding RNA from Trichobilharzia regenti, 44 nucleotides. NCBI's taxonomy places the organism in Eukaryota, Metazoa, Platyhelminthes, Trematoda, Strigeidida, Schistosomatidae. The record is from Rfam.
ACCAGCUGACCAGUCCCAUAUAGGACGAAAUGCCCAUCCUGGAU